This 541-nucleotide long non-coding RNA is filed under the name Populus trichocarpa (black cottonwood). RNAcentral describes it as "long non-coding RNA (PTRI_LNC003386)". Lineage: Eukaryota; Viridiplantae; Streptophyta; Magnoliopsida; Malpighiales; Salicaceae. The record is from RNAcentral.
ACAACCCAGAAAAUAAAAGAGAAAACCGAAGAAACAGCAAAAGAAACUUAUAUAAAAGCCGAAGCUUGCUUUCUUUUCUUGGUUUUGCACUAAAUUCUUGGAUAUUGGCUAUAAGAAAACGAGAGAGAAAGGCCAAGGGUCAGAGGCAGAAAUGGCAAGCUUGAAAAGGGUAAAAGAAGAGCCUGUAAGAGAUCUUGGUAUGUUGCUCAUGAUAUAUGAGAAUCAAAGAAGAACAACAUAAGCACAAGAAAGAAAGAUUGAGAGGUCAUUGUGCUGUGAAGAUUGGUUUUUAUAUAUAUAAAUAUAAAUAUAUAUAGGAGUGGAUGGUUAGACUAUACACACAAAAAGGUUAUUCAAGAGACAGAAACAGCUAGAGUUGCAAAGAGCUCACAUCCUGGGAAGGUCUUUUUUUUUUCUCCAAUGAUUUGCUGUCUAGGAAAAGAGAAGGUAAUAAUACAUAAAAAUGAUUUCACAGCUGGGAUCGAAACACGCUAUAUAUUUACAGGUAAUUUGCUUGAAAUAUUUGACUUUUAACAAGGAA